Molecule: ribosomal RNA, 774 nt
Filed under: uncultured Neocallimastigales
Lineage: Eukaryota; Fungi; Neocallimastigomycota; Neocallimastigomycetes; Neocallimastigales
Description: partial large subunit ribosomal RNA
Rfam family: Eukaryotic large subunit ribosomal RNA
Source: RNAcentral
UAUCUCUGUAGAGUCUGCAUAUCAAUAAGCGGAGGAAAAGAAACUAACUAGGAUUCCCUCAGUAACGGCGAGUGAAGCGGGAAGAGCUCAAAUUUGAAAUCUUCAAGGUUCUACCUUGACGAAUUGUAGUUUAAAGAAGUGUUUUCUGUUGGAGUUUUGGUAAAAGUUCUUUGGAAUAGGACAUCAUAGAGGGUGAGAAUCCCGUAUUUGACCAUUAUUUCCAGCUUUGUGAUACACUUUCAAAGAGUCGGAUUGUUUGGGAAUGCAGUCCAAAAUGGGUGGUAAGUUUCAUCUAAAGCUAAAUAUUGGCGAGAGACCGAUAGCGAACAAGUACCGUGAGGGAAAGAUGAAAAGAACUUUGAAAAGAGAGUUAAACAGUACGUGAAAUUGUCAAAAGGGAAGCGUUUGACACCAGUGUUGUUUUCUCGAAAAUCAAUUAAAAAAGGCAGGAUUUUGUGUUGUAUUGACUUUAUCAGCUUUCUGCACUCUUUUCUUGUCUUUUUUAAUGCACUUUUCGUUUAACAAGUCAACAUCAAUUUCUUUUGUUGUAAAAGGGUCAUUGGAAGGUGGCUUUCUUUUCGGAGAAAGUGUUUAUAGCCUUUGGCCUCUGCAAUCGGAGAGAUUGAGGUCUGCAGCGUAGAUCCUUCGGGGUUAGAUACAUUUGUGCUAAGUUAUAGCCUUUCAUAGACAACUUGUUGACUAUGAUCAGUCAUGUAGCUUACUCGCUUAUGUUAUUUUACCUACGCUUAGGAUGUUGACGAUCAGCUGAGCGCG